AGAGUUUGAUCCUGGCUCAGGAUGAACGCUGGCGGCGUGGAUAAGGCAUGCAAGUCGAACGGCCCGCAAGGGCAGUGGCGAACGAGGUAGUAACACGUAGGUACAAACCCCAAAGUCAGGAAUAACCCACCGAAAGGUGGGCUAAUACUUGAUAGUCUCUUCGGAGUAAAGAUUUAUCGCUUUGGGAUUGGCCUGCGCAGUAUCAGCUAGUUGGUAGGGUAAAAGCCUACCAAGGCAAUGACGCUUAGGGGAGGUGAGAGCCUGACCCCCACCGAUGGUACUGAGACACGGACCAUACACCUACGGGUGGCUGCAGUCGAGAAUCUUCCACAAUGGACGAAAGUCUGAUGGAGCGACGCCGCGUGACUGAAGAAGUCUUUCGGGAUGUAAAGGUCUUUUAUGAAGGAGAAAAUUUUGAUAGUACUUCAUGAAUAAGGGGUUGCUAAACUCGUGCCAGCAGCCGCGGUAA
Molecule: ribosomal RNA, 469 nt
Filed under: uncultured bacterium
Lineage: Bacteria
Description: bacterial SSU rRNA
Rfam family: Bacterial small subunit ribosomal RNA
Source: RNAcentral